RNAcentral lists this ribosomal RNA (188 nucleotides) under uncultured bacterium. RNAcentral describes it as "partial 16S rRNA". It matches the Rfam family "Bacterial small subunit ribosomal RNA", at positions 338 to 523 of the family's 1533-position model. The record is from RNAcentral.
CCUACGGGGGGCGGCAGUGAGGAAUAUUGGUCAAUGGGCGAGAGCCUGAACCAGCCAAGUCGCGUGAAGGAAGACUGUCCUAUGGAUUGUAAACUUCUUUUGUACGGGAAUAAAGUGGGCUACGUGUAGCCUUUUGUAUGUACCGUACGAAUAAGGAUCGGCUAACUCCGUGCCAGCAGCCCCGGUCA